RNAcentral lists this ribosomal RNA (249 nucleotides) under uncultured Alphaproteobacteria bacterium. RNAcentral describes it as "partial 16S ribosomal RNA". It matches the Rfam family "Bacterial small subunit ribosomal RNA", at positions 355 to 621 of the family's 1533-position model. The record is from RNAcentral. Lineage: Bacteria; Pseudomonadati; Pseudomonadota; Alphaproteobacteria.
UAGGGAAUAUUGCGCAAUGGGCGAAAGCCUGACGCAGCAAUUCCGCGUGGAGGAUGAAGGUCUUUGGAUUGUAAACUCCUUUCGGUGGUGACGAUAAUGACGGUAGCCACAGAAGAAGCCCCGGCUAACUCCGUGCCAGCAGCCGCGGUAAUACGGAGGGGGCUAGCGUUGUUCGGAAUUACUGGGCGUAAAGCGCACGUAGGCGGAUUGGAAAGUCAGAGGUGAAAUCCCAGGGCUCAACCUUGGAAC